UACGGAGGGUCCAAGCGUUAUCCGGAUUUAUUGGGUUUAAAGGGUGCGCAGGCGGAAGAUUAAGUCGGUGGUGAAAUUUUGCAGCUCAACUGUAAAAGUGCCAUUGAUACUGGUUUUCUUGAGUGUGGAUGAAGUAGGCGGAAUUUGUGGUGUAGCGGUGAAAUGCAUAGAUAUCACGAGGAACUCCGAUUGCGCAGGCAGCUUACUAAACCAUAACUGACGCUCAGGCACGAAGGCGUGGGGAUCAAACAGGAUUAGAUACCCU
Molecule: ribosomal RNA, 265 nt
Filed under: uncultured prokaryote
Description: partial 16S ribosomal RNA
Rfam family: Bacterial small subunit ribosomal RNA
Source: RNAcentral